This is a non-coding RNA of Shewanella baltica OS185, 189 nucleotides long. The record is from Rfam. NCBI's taxonomy places the organism in Bacteria, Pseudomonadati, Pseudomonadota, Gammaproteobacteria, Alteromonadales, Shewanellaceae.
UUAUCAUUGAUGAUUGGUUUGAAAGAAGCCGCUAGCAAAUUUGCGAGCUGAUGAACAAGAACAUCAUAUGAGGCGUAGGCUAGAGGUGAGUUGGCAGGGCCUUCCCCACUAAGUAAGGGGACAAGACGACGAAACCACGUGAUCUAAUGGCCACCGUAAAUGAGCAACCAGCCUUCAACCGCGAUUUAU